Molecule: long non-coding RNA, 622 nt
Organism: Drosophila guanche
Lineage: Eukaryota; Metazoa; Arthropoda; Insecta; Diptera; Drosophilidae
Exons: 3
Source: RefSeq, a predicted model, not a curated record
UUGCUGUUCCCAGGGUUUGGGAUAACAUAAUCACCGUACCGCUUCAUCCCGUGUACCUUUUCAUCUCUGGCAAUUUAAAACCGUUUACGCGCCCUUACAGAUAUGUACAAAUUUGCCGAAAGCAGAGCAUAAUUUUGGUCUACCUAAUUGGAUCGACGGUUCACUGUCAGCAUACGUGCCCCCAUCCAGCAAUUUACAAUUUUUUCUUGCCGUAUUGAUUGCAUUCAUCCAGCGACUGCAUGUCUGCUUGGAUGAGUGAGCGAAGCCAAAUGAUACAAAUGAUUUCAGCUGUAUUUAUCGCGUGUGUACGCUUAACUACUGAGACUGCCGCUGAUAGACAAAUCCUUAUUGGCCAGGAUGCAGCAACUGAUUCGCGGAAUUUUAAUAAUUGACCCGCCCAGUUAUCAAAGUUAUUCUGGUUUUCCCCAUGUUCCUGAUGCAGCCACGAGCAAGUGGUGCAAAGCCAGAUUGCAAUUUCAGGAACCAAGUGAAUGUCUUACAUCGUUGAUUGCAGCCAUUCAAGGACAUACAAAUAUCCAAUAAAAUUGUAUGAGACACCACCCAAGCUGCUUAAUUAUUUAGAAUAUAAUUAAUACCAAGACAUUGGGGAGUAGAAAGGGUA